AGGGAAAGCGGGCGGCAGGCCUAACACAUGCAAGUCGAGCGGAUGAAGGGAGCUUGCUCCUGGAUUCAGCGGCGGACGGGUGAGUAAUGCCUAGGAAUCUGCCUGGUAGUGGGGGAUAACGUCCGGAAACGGGCGCUAAUACCGCAUACGUCCUGAGGGAGAAAGUGGGGGAUCUUCGGACCUCACGCUAUCAGAUGAGCCUAGGUCGGAUUAGCUAGUUGGUGGGGUAAAGGCCUACCAAGGCGACGAUCCGUAACUGGUCUGAGAGGAUGAUCAGUCACACUGGAACUGAGACACGGUCCAGACUCCUACGGGAGGCAGCAGUGGGGAAUAUUGGACAAUGGGCGAAAGCCUGAUCCAGCCAUGCCGCGUGUGUGAAGAAGGUCUUCGGAUUGUAAAGCACUUUAAGUUGGGAGGAAGGGCAGUAAGUUAAUACCUUGCUGUUUUGACGUUACCAACAGAAUAAGCACCGGCUAACUUCGUG
Molecule: ribosomal RNA, 484 nt
Filed under: uncultured bacterium
Lineage: Bacteria
Description: partial 16S ribosomal RNA
Rfam family: Bacterial small subunit ribosomal RNA
Source: RNAcentral